GACGAACGCUGGCGGCGUGCCUAAUACAUGCAAGUCGAACGAACCGCGACUGAGUGCUUGCACUUGGUCAAGGUGAGUGGCGAACGGGUGAGUAACACGUGGGUAACCUACCUCAUAGUGGGGGAUAACAGUCGGAAACGACUGCUAAUACCGCAUAGGACAUAGGAUCACAUGAUCCAGUGAGGAAGGGUGGCGCAAGCUAUCGCUACGAGAUGGACCCGCGGUGCAUUAGCUAGUUGGUAGGGUGAAGGCCUACCAAGGCGAUGAUGCAUAGCCGACCUGAGAGGGUGAUCGGCCACAUUGGGACUGAGACACGGCCCAAACUCCUACGGGAGGCAGCAGUAGGGAAUCUUCCGCAAUGGACGCAAGUCUGACGGGGCAACGCCGCGUGAGUGAAGAAGGUCUUCGGAUCGUAAAGCUCUGUUGUUAGAGAAGAACAGCGCAUAGAGUAACUGCUAUGCGUGUGACGGUAUCUAAACAGAAAGCCACGGCUAACUACGUG
This 502-nucleotide ribosomal RNA is filed under the name uncultured bacterium. RNAcentral's name for it is "partial 16S ribosomal RNA". It matches the Rfam family "Bacterial small subunit ribosomal RNA", at positions 28 to 507 of the family's 1533-position model. The record is from RNAcentral.